AAAAAAAAAAUAUAAGAUAAAAAAAACUAAAGAUAUGCAUAAUAUCAUUGGAAGGACACCUGCAUAAACAAAAUAAAAGGUUUCCUCCUAUAUCAUGCUUCAUUCCUUUUUUGUCAACGAAUCAUUGGGGUUAAGGGACAGAUGAGAAAAAUGUUCAGAUACGAUUGCCCAAUUAAGUAUAGAAAGGUCCAGGUCCAGGCAUUUCCAAUGAUCCAUUCAGAGACAAAUAGCAAACCAAAUGUGAUAUCAGAAUCGUGCGUAUUUUAUAUGUCAAAAAGCAGUGCAUACCAAACUAAGUCUAUCGGAAAGCCUCAAAAUUGAUAUAAGAAUUUAAUAACAUUACUUACAUUAAUACACUAAGGCUUUUAGAUGCAUAGGG
Panicum virgatum (switchgrass) is the source of this 379-nucleotide long non-coding RNA. RefSeq lists it as uncharacterized. The record is from RefSeq and is a predicted model, not a curated record. The transcript is spliced from 2 exons. NCBI's taxonomy places the organism in Eukaryota, Viridiplantae, Streptophyta, Magnoliopsida, Poales, Poaceae.